This 253-nucleotide ribosomal RNA is filed under the name uncultured bacterium. Its description in RNAcentral is "partial 16S ribosomal RNA". It matches the Rfam family "Bacterial small subunit ribosomal RNA", at positions 524 to 776 of the family's 1533-position model. The record is from RNAcentral.
UACGUAGGGUGCGAGCGUUAAUCGGAAUUACUGGGCGUAAAGCGUGCGUAGGCGGUUUGUCGCGUCUGCUGUGAAAUCCCGAGGCUCAACCUCGGGUCUGCAGUGGGUACGGGCAGACUGGAGUGCGGUAGGGGAGAAUGGAAUUCCUGGUGUAGCGGUGGAAUGCGCAGAUAUCAGGAGGAACACCGAUGGCGAAGGCAGUUCUCUGGGCCGUAACUGACGCUGAGGAGCGAAAGCGUGGGGAGCGAACAGG